RNAcentral lists this ribosomal RNA (2173 nucleotides) under Cajanus cajan (pigeon pea). Its description in RNAcentral is "eukaryotic LSU rRNA". It matches the Rfam family "Eukaryotic large subunit ribosomal RNA", at positions 160 to 2342 of the family's 3401-position model. Lineage: Eukaryota; Viridiplantae; Streptophyta; Magnoliopsida; Fabales; Fabaceae. The record is from RNAcentral.
AGCCUUAGUGCGGACCAGGCCCAAGUCCCCUGGAACGGGGGUGCCAGAGAGUGAGAGCCCCGUCGUGCCCGGACCAUAUCGCAUCACGAGGCGCUGUCGGCGAGUCGGGUUGUUUGGGAAUGCAGCCCCAAUCAGGCGGUAAAUUCCGUCCAAGGCUAAAUACUGGCGAGAGACCGAUAGCGAACAAGUACUGCAAGGGAAAGAUGAAAAUGAUUUUGAAAAUAGAGUCAAAGAGUGCUUGAAAUUGUCAGGAGGGAAGCGGAUGGGGGUUAGCGGUAUGUCCCGGUCGGAUGUGGAACAAUGUUAGCCGGUCUACCGAUCGACUCGGGGCAUUGACCGAUGCGGAUUGUGAUGGUGGCCCAAGCCCGGGUUGUCAAAAUGCUCGUGCAGAUGUCAUCGUCACGAUUGUGGAUGACAGCAUGCGCCUUCAUGGCGUGCUUCGGCACUUACAUGCUCCGGGCAUCGACUUGUGGGCUCCCCAUUCGGCCCGUCUUGAAACAUGGACCAAGGAGUCUGACAUGUGUACGAGUCAAUGGGUGAGUAAACCUGUAAGGUGCAAGGAAGCUGAUUGGCGGGAUCCCCUUGUGGGUUGCAUCAUCGAUCGACCCUGAUCUUUUGUGAAGGGUUCGAGUGAGAGCAUACCUGUCGGGACCCGAAAGAUGGUGAACUAUGCCUGAGCGGGGCGAAGCCAGAGGAAACUCUGGUGGAGGUCCGCAGCAAUACUGAUGUGCAAAUCGUUCAUCUGACUUGGGUAUAGGGGCGAAAGACUAAUCAAACCGUGUAGUAGCUGGUUCCCUCCGAAGUUUCCCUCAGGAUAGCUGGAGCCUACGAGCGAGUUCUAUCGGGUAAAGCCAAUGAUUAGAGGCAUCGGGGGCGCAACGCCCUCGACCUAUUCUCAAACUUUAAAUAGGUAGGACGGUGUGGCUGCUUUGUUGAGCCACUCCACAGAAUCGAGAGCUCCAAGUGGGCCAUUUUUGGUAAGCAGAACUGGCGAUGCGGGAUGAACCAGAAGCUGGGAUAUGGUGCCCAACUGCGCGCUAACCUAGAACCCACAAAGGGUGUUGGUCGAUUAAGACAGCAGGACGUUGGUCAUGGAAGUCGAAAUCCACUAAGGAGUGUGUAACAACUAACCUGCCGAAUCAACUAGCCCCGAAAAUGGAUGGCGCUAUAGCGCGCGACCUAUACCCAGCCGUCGAGGCAAGAGUCGAUGAGUAGGAGGGCGCGACGGUCAUUGUAAAACCCAGGGCAUGAGCCCGGGCAGAGCGUUUGUUGGUGCAAAUCUUGGUGGUAGUAGCAAAUAAUCAAAUGAGAACUUUGAAGGUCGAAGAGGAGAAAGGUUCCAUGUGAACGGCACUUGCACAUGGGUUAGUCGAUCCUGAGGGACUGGGGAAGCCCGUAUGAUAGCGCUUUCAGCGCGUACUCCGAAAGAGAAUCGGGUUAAAAUUCCUGAACCGGGACGUGGCGGCUGACGACAACGUUGGGGAGUCUGGAGACGUCGGCAGGGCCCCCGAAAAGAGUGAUCUUUUCUGUUUAACAGCCUGCCCACCCUAGAAACGGCUCAGUCGGAGGUAAGGACCAGCGGCUGGAAGAGCACCGCAAGUUGCAAGGUGUCCGGUGCGCCCCCGGCGACCCUUGAAAAUUUAGAGGAUCGAGUGCCUCCCAUGCCUGGUCGUACUCAUAACCGUAUCAGGUCUCCAAGGUGAACAGCCUCUAGUCGAUGGAACAAUGUAGGCAAGGGAAGUCGAAAAAAUGGAUCCGUAACCUCAGGAAAAGGAUUGGCUCUGAGGGCUGGGCACGGGGGUCCCAGUCUCGAACCCGUCAGCUGUCGGUGGACUGCUUGAGAUGCUCCCGCAGCGAGAGUGGGUUGUCGCGUGCCAGUCGGGGAAUGGAUUGGGAACAGGCCUUUCGGGGCCUCUUCCCCGGGCGUCGAACAGUCGACUCAGAACUGGUACGGACAAGGGGAAUCCGACUAUUUAAUUAAUACAAAGCAUUUCGAUGGUCCCUGCAGAUGUUGACGCAAUGUGAUUUCUGCCCAGUGCUCUGAAUGUCAAAGUGAAGAAAUUCAACCAAGCGUGGGUAAACGGCGGGAGUAACUAUGACUCUCUUAAGGUAGCCAAAUGCCUCGUCAUCUAAUUAGUGACGCGCAUGAAUGGAUUAACGAGAUUCCCACUGU